AAAUAACCCUCCCCAGGAACACUUAAAAACACAUUGCAAUGAUUUUGGAGGAAGCAGUUUGAUCAAAUAAGAUCUAUGCCUAACCUCCCCUUCAUAGUGACUUGUUCCUGGAGCUGCAAGAUGGUCCCACAGCUGUUUCUGCUGCAGGGCCAUGCCUGGUGCCACACGUCCUGCACGUCUGCCUGGGGAGAGGGAAGACAAAUGUUCUAGCUCAGAACUCACUUCUGCAGGGUCUCUAACUUGUUUUGCAGCAGUAACAUGCUGUGCAAGUCUUAGAGCAACCCCUAAACUUCAUUGUGAGUCUGGUUCAGAGCAAACCCUCCAAAAUUUUUAUACCUACUCAUCUGUUAACCCAGAAGUGACAUUCCACUCACAGCACCAAAUUCACUCAGAUACUCCAAAACUGACACUUUGGGUUCAUGGCAACCUGAGUUGCUAACACGGGUUGAAAGGUAGCAAGUCAGGAUAGGCCAGCACAAAUCCCGCCAGACAUAGAUAGAAACACAAAAGGUGAGGGAGUGGUACAAGCACUGAACUUUCUCCCUCCUGCUUGAAAAUGCUCCAACUAGCCCAUCCCAGGCUUCAUCGACAGGUAAAGACUGAUAGUCGGUAGUCACUGUGUGUGAUUAGGUCAUGAGUGUAAGAUCUGCUACAAGGCUGGAGGCAGGGAAGAUGUACCAGGACAGUUCUGUCUCUUUUCUGUGCCUGAAACCCUGCAGUGCUCUACAGAGAAAUGAGAAGCGAAAGGUUAUAUUGAUAAACUUAAUCAUCUGAAUCUGUUUUUCAUGUGCCCUUGAUACUGUAAAACCAAAGCACCGCACCCCUGCCAGGCAUUAAAAUGCCAGAUUUGAGGGUCAUUAAAAGCAGCAGCACGCUUAAUCAGGAGCCCUUACAGAGCAGCACAAAGCUGCUCCUCCCUUUCUAUACAUGAUUUAUUUUUUAAUAAGGAUGACCAAGAUGGCAGCCCGUGCAAUGCUCUGUGCUGUGCAAGCUGCUCGGCAGCAGGUUGUGAUGAUUUGCAAACUCUCUCUGCAGCGUUAAUGUCUAUUUGAACAACUUGGAGGAAGCAGUGCCUUCUUAUUGCUUUAAAUGCUUUCCCCAAUUAUAUGGGACUUUUGCAUUCUUGGUUAAGAAGGGUGUUGCAGGACUCAUUAUGUAGAUAUGAAUUUUUAAGUGGUGUAUCUUUAUUACCUUCUGGUUUCCUCCACAGACUCCCAAGUACCCAAGGUACAAAAGCUCAUUCCCUGGGUCUUUGCGUUGCUGUCUGGCCAUCACCAGAAGGUGCUAACUAGCCAUUUUGGUAGGCCUGGACUAUUAGCUUCAUUCUCAAAUAUCAAGGAGAUUGGGUGUGGGACCAGAUAAAUCUUCAGCUGAGUUCUUAGGAAAAAAAAAAUGCAAUGCAUUGGAAGCAGCAGAAAGUUGAGCCAUUGUCCCAGCUCAGUGUAGCACCAGGAGACCCCUGGGGUGGGAUUCAACUCCCAGGUAAAGUCUGGAGCCUUCUGGACAGGUGCUUUGGACCUCACAGUGUCGAUGUAUUCAGAGAGACUUGGUAGUUAGCCCCACAUGCCAGCUAUCCACAUGUUUUAUACAGGAAAAGAUGGCUUAAUGUGUUCCCACCUGGGGGAAAAAAAAAAAAAAGCCAAGUAACCAACCUACCCUGUGUGACCUGGCAGUGGCUCUUCACCCUCUCAGACAAGACUCACCAUCCCCAUCCUCACCACCACAGCCUCCUUCCUUAGGGGCUGUCCCCUCUCCUGCUCUGCCAUCUCCAUGUGGAGCAUUCGGCAGUCAGAUGGGGCUGCAGCCAGCAGAGCCCCAGUGGAGGGGGACUGGUGGUUGGCAGCACACAGCCCUCAUAAGGGUGUACACCCAAACUAUUUCUUCCUGCAGCAGAAAUUUUGCAUUUAGACCAAGCAGCUCAGGGCAUAGACCUGUCACAGGUCAGGCUGGGAUAUGGCUAGCGUGUACCAGAGGAUUGCAGAUCCUCUGGCUUCCCACUUCUUUUCCUUCGGGAGACAAGGCUAUUAUGCUAACCUUUAUGGAAAGGUGAGGUUUUAAAGUAGGAGAGGACAACCACAGGGAAGGCAGGCAACAAUGUGUGAACAACACAUGAGUGAGGAAGGCACCCGCUGUCCUGAAGCAUUUUCAAAUGUUAAGAAAAUGUAAUUGGGGGCAUAAGUUGAAAGAGUGCACAGGGAGCUUUUAAAGUGGAGGGCUGGUGCUUACAUGAAGGAUUGCCUUUUUGUCUCUCUGAUCUUGGUAGCCUCCAGGAGUUGUCGUAUUCAAAUGGCUGAAGGAUUAGGAAAAGAAGUUCCAUGCGGUGGACAAAAUAAGGAUCACAUUUACCCUUUCCUUUCAAGUCCUCAUCUGUCAUUCCAAGUCUUUGCUAAAUAAACAAAUCCUCACAAUGUGAGCUACCA
This 2420-nucleotide long non-coding RNA is filed under the name Anser brachyrhynchus (Pink-footed goose). RNAcentral's name for it is "lncRNA (ENSABRG00000014610.1)". The record is from RNAcentral. Lineage: Eukaryota; Metazoa; Chordata; Aves; Anseriformes; Anatidae.